Molecule: ribosomal RNA, 375 nt
Filed under: uncultured bacterium
Lineage: Bacteria
Description: bacterial SSU rRNA
Rfam family: Bacterial small subunit ribosomal RNA
Source: RNAcentral
UAAUACGAGAGGCCCAAACGUUAUUCGGAAUCACUGGGCUUAAAGAGUUCGUAGGCGGCGCGGAAAGUGGGGUGUGAAAGCCCUCGGCUCAACCGAGGAAUUGCGCUCCAAACUGCCGUGCUUGAGGAGGCUAGAGGUAAGCAGAACUGAUGGUGGAGCGGUGAAAUGCGUUGAUAUCAUCAGGAAUACCGGAGGCGAAGGCGGCUUACUGGGGCCUUUCUGACGCUGAGGAACGAAAGCUAGGGGAGCAAACGGGAUUAGAUACCCCGGUAGUCCUAGCCGUAAACGGUGAGCACUGGACCGGAGGGCUGCACAGCUUUUCGGUCGUAGCGAAAGUGUUAAGUGCUCCGCCUGGGGAGUAUGGUCGCAAGGCUG